This 492-nucleotide ribosomal RNA is filed under the name uncultured bacterium. RNAcentral's name for it is "partial 16S ribosomal RNA". It matches the Rfam family "Bacterial small subunit ribosomal RNA", at positions 29 to 507 of the family's 1533-position model. The record is from RNAcentral.
AGUGAACGCUGGCGGUAGGCCUAACACAUGCAAGUCGAACGGAAACACAGUGAGAGUUUGCUCCUACGGGUGGCGGGGGGCGGACGGGUGACAAAUACAUCGGAAUCUACUUUUUCGUGGGGGAUAACGUGGAGAAACUGACGCUAAUACCUCAUACGACCUACGGGUGAAAGCAGUGGAUCUUCGCACCUUGCCCGUUUCAAUGAGCCGGUGUCGCAUUAGCUAGUUGGCGGGGUAAGGGCCCACCAAGGCGACGAUCCGUAGCUGGCCUGAGAGGAUGAUCGGCCACACUGGAACUGAGACACGGUCCAGACUCCUACGGGAGGCAGCAGUAGGGAAUCUUGGGCAAUGGGCGAAAGCCUGACCCAGCCAUGCCGCGUGAGUGAAGAAGGUCUUCGGAUCGUAAAGCCCUUUUGUUGGGGAAGAAAAGCAGUAGGAUAAACCACCGACGUUUUGACGGUACCCAAAGAAUAAGCCCCGGCUAACUUCGUG